This 214-nucleotide unclassified non-coding RNA is filed under the name plant metagenome. Its description in RNAcentral is "partial contains small subunit ribosomal RNA, internal transcribed spacer 1, and 5.8S ribosomal RNA". The record is from RNAcentral.
UUUCCGUAGGUGAACCUGCGGAAGGAUCAUUCAUAAUAAGUGUUUUAUGGCACUUUUUUAAAUCCAUAUCCACCUUGUGUGCAAUGUCAGGGUUGAUUUUUCUCUCGAGAGGAUCAGCCCCAAACAUCAACUAUUAUCUCAACUCUUUGUCUGAAAAAUAUUAUGAAUAAAACAAUUCAAAAUACAACUUUCAACAACGGAUCUCUUGGCUCUC